RNAcentral lists this ribosomal RNA (504 nucleotides) under uncultured bacterium. RNAcentral's name for it is "partial 16S ribosomal RNA". It matches the Rfam family "Bacterial small subunit ribosomal RNA", at positions 30 to 523 of the family's 1533-position model. The record is from RNAcentral.
AUUGAACGCUGGCGGCAUGCUUUACACAUGCAAGUAGAACGGUAGCACAGAGAGCUUGCUCUCGGGUGACGAGUGGCGGACGGGUGAGUAAUGUCUGGGAAACUGCCCGAUGGAGGGGGAUAACUACUGGAAACGGUAGCUAAUACCGCAUAACGUCGCAAGACCAAAGUGGGGGACCUGCGGGCCUCACCCCAACGGAUGUGCCCAGAUGGGAUUAGCUAGUAGGUGGGGUAAUGGCUCACCUAGGCGACGAUCCCUAGCUGGUCUGAGAGGAUGACCAGCCACACUGGAACUGAGACACGGUCCAGACUCCUACGGGAGGCAGCAGUGGGGAAUAUUGCACAAUGGGCGCAAGCCUGAUGCAGCCAUGCCGCGUGUAUGAAGAAGGCCUUCGGGUUGUAAAGUACUUUCAGCGGGGAGGAAGGCGGUGGAGUUAAUAACUUCACCGAUUGACGUUACCCGCAGAAGAAGCACCGGCUAACUCCGUGCCAGCCGCCGCGGUAA